UUUGCUCACUUUAUCUAUGCCGUGAUUUAAUUUCUGCCAAAGAUGCACUGAGUUAGGACCCCGUCAUCCUCUCACCGGACCUAUGCUGAACAGAGCUGGGCCCAUCUCGCAUACUUUCCGUUAGCAGCUCGAAGGAUUUAGAGCUGGAGGUGGACUAAUAGCAACAUUUUAAUGAGAAGAAAGAUGCAGAAGGACAUCUUCAUUUCACACGAAGGACUGAGGAAGCUGAGGUUCACGUGGUGUCUCUGAGCAACCUCUUGGGAAGCAGUGGUGAUAUGUCAACAACUCCCACCAUCACUGUAUCCGAGUGCCGUGCUGACCUAAUGUGUUUGUCAUCAACUCC
This 343-nucleotide long non-coding RNA is filed under the name Phasianus colchicus (ring-necked pheasant). Its description in RNAcentral is "lncRNA (ENSPCLG00000008672.1)". The record is from RNAcentral. Lineage: Eukaryota; Metazoa; Chordata; Aves; Galliformes; Phasianidae.